ACACAUAUGUGCAAAGAAGUUCCUUAAUCUAUAUCUUGUCCCUGCCCCUGUGUGGUGGGGCUGCUACCAAGGCGCCAGUUGGCUCAUGCCAUCCAGGGACACCUUGAUUAGGCCUAAGGGAUACAUGCAUUUGCACUUGGGGCAUUGUCAGGAAUGCUUUAAUUGUUGCAUUACGACUAGGAGUUCAUUGCAAAUAAGAGAGAAUAUAAAAAAGGCUUUGGGGUGAACAGAAGGGUACAAGCAAGGUAGGUAGAAAGAAACAGAGCGAAGGGAGAGAUGAGAUAGUUCUACUAUAUUUGAAGAAAGGGGGACAUUUCUGUUCUGUUCUAUUCUCUCAAAUACUCAUGCUUCUCGUAUAUCUUCGUUGGCCAGCUCCUCUUGCUUCUGUGGUUUUACCACCAGCAAUAAUCUGCUCCCAGCAGAACCAUUGAUUUUAAUGCUUGAAUUUUGAUGUUUGAAAUUGAGUUGUCAAGGUUCAUUGUUGUGGAAUUCUGGAUACAAGCCAGAUCGAGUAGUGAAUCACCUGCUGGUUUAAGAUAAGAGAAAUUGGUAAAUUUUUUACUUUCUCGGCAGAAUGUGUUACAGUUUAUGUAAUUCUGAAAUAUUAUUCCGAUGUUUCU
This is a long non-coding RNA of Lolium rigidum, 620 nucleotides long. RefSeq lists it as uncharacterized. NCBI's taxonomy places the organism in Eukaryota, Viridiplantae, Streptophyta, Magnoliopsida, Poales, Poaceae. The record is from RefSeq and is a predicted model, not a curated record. The transcript is spliced from 2 exons.